Molecule: long non-coding RNA, 1153 nt
Organism: Manihot esculenta (cassava)
Lineage: Eukaryota; Viridiplantae; Streptophyta; Magnoliopsida; Malpighiales; Euphorbiaceae
Exons: 2
Source: RefSeq, a predicted model, not a curated record
CCUACUCCAACUCCACCACACACCAACCACAACAGGACAAGAAACAAAGAUUUUCUCAUGUGAGAUUUCAUAUGUUCUGAAAGAGGUGGUGUCUUCCGUGAUGAGUCUCAUCUGUCUUGUUCUUUUUUGUGAUAAGAAAUUGAUGGAGUCGCGUACUUAAUUGUUUAGGUCAUAUGUAAUGCGCGUGUCCUGGAACCCUCCAGUGUUUGUCUUUGACUCUUUGUUUUCCCUUUACAUGUGCCACCAUAUAAGAUUUAAAAGUUUUAGCGUGCCUGCCAAAGUGUGGGGUUUUGUCUCGACAUGCCUUCGACUUUAUUCUUUUGUUGUAGUUCUUGUGCUUAUUGGGGGACUUCUCUUAGAUGUGUUGUUUUUUUCUUAUUUUUCUUUGGCUGUUGUAUUGGUUUUUGCAUGUAGGCGGUCUCCUUGGUGCACUCUCUCAGACGGUUAAUUGUUAAUCUGCAUGCAUUUUCACUCCUUUGUCUGUGUGCUUCAGUGGGUGACAAAUGGGUUUCCAGCCAUUUAAAUGGUUUAUCCUUUCUUAUGAUACCGAGUUCCUCCAUGAUCCAUUGAUUCCUAAAACUCUAUACAUGGCUGGCGAGUUCUUUCGGUUAAAGCUUUUUAGAUCCCAUACUUGGAGACUUUUAUCUUGUUCGGUGAAGGGCAAUAAGGAGGUGAUUUACGGAACAAUACUUGGAUGGUGCAAUAGGGACGUCAAAGAGUGUGCUUCCUCCAUCUUCAUUGGUCCCUUUUGAUCUAUAAAACCCCACUUGACUCGGCUGGUAGCUAUCAUUUUAUAUUUUUCGAGAUGGUUCUAGUGGCGCUUCUUCAAUUUUGGCAUGGAUCCUCUUAUGUGGAAGCAACUUGCUUCUAGUUUUCUCUUAGCCUCUCUUCUUAUGCUUCAGUAAAUGUUUUAAUGUCUAGAAAUAGCGAUCUUGCCAUUUUAUGCAACCUAAAUGCUGGUAACUGUUUAUGCGGCCUAAAUGCUUAUAACUGGAGCUUUACAAGAAGGAUCGAUGUUACUCUUUCUCAUUGAAUCCUAGAUUGGAUCAAGUGGGAUCAAGUGUCAAUGGGUCUUUGGGACUUUAGGCUUUAGUUAAGUCUUUUUCUUGUCCCAUGGAUUUUACGACUUGUAUCUUUGUAUGAUAUUUAUUGC